UUAAUCGAAACCAAAAAAGAGGUAUAUUACUGUUAAUAAUAUUAUUGAAAAUAUUUUCCGAUUAAA
This 66-nucleotide transfer RNA is filed under the name Neoneuromus sikkimmensis. RNAcentral's name for it is "tRNA-Asn". Lineage: Eukaryota; Metazoa; Arthropoda; Insecta; Megaloptera; Corydalidae. The record is from RNAcentral.